AUUGAACGCUGGCGGCAGGCCUAACACAUGCAAGUCGAACGGUAGCACAGAGAGCUUGCUCUCGGGUGACGAGUGGCGGACGGGUGAGUAAUGUCUGGGAAACUGCCCGAUGGAGGGGGAUAACUACUGGAAACGGUAGCUAAUACCGCAUAACGUCGCAAGACCAAAGUGGGGGACCUUCGGGCCUCACACCAUCGGAUGUGCCCAGAUGGGAUUAGCUAGUAGGUGGGGUAAUGGCUCACCUAGGCGACGAUCCCUAGCUGGUCUGAGAGGGUGCCCAGCCACACUGGAACGGAGACACGGUCCAGACGCCUACGGGAGGCAGCAGUGGGGAAUAUUGCACAAUGGGCGCAAGCCUGAUGCAGCCAUGCCGCGUGUAUGAAGAAGGCCUUCGGGUUGCAAAGUACUUUCAGCGGGGAGGAAGGCGGUGGAGUUAAUAACUUCACCGAUUGACGUUACCCGCAGAAGAAGGACCGGCUAAUUCCGUGCCAGCAGCCGCCGUAA
RNAcentral lists this ribosomal RNA (504 nucleotides) under uncultured bacterium. Its description in RNAcentral is "partial 16S ribosomal RNA". It matches the Rfam family "Bacterial small subunit ribosomal RNA", at positions 29 to 523 of the family's 1533-position model. The record is from RNAcentral.